RNAcentral lists this ribosomal RNA (253 nucleotides) under uncultured bacterium. Its description in RNAcentral is "partial 16S ribosomal RNA". It matches the Rfam family "Bacterial small subunit ribosomal RNA", at positions 524 to 776 of the family's 1533-position model. The record is from RNAcentral.
UACGGAGGGGACUAGCGUUGUUCGGAAUUACUGGGCGUAAAGCGCACGUAGGCGGAUUUGUAAGUCAGGGGUGAAAUCCCGGGGCUCAACCUCGGAACUGCCUUUGAUACUGCAAAUCUCGAGUCCGGAAGAGGUGAGUGGAAUUCCUAGUGUAGAGGUGAAAUUCGUAGAUAUUCGCAAGAACACCAGUGGCGAAGGCGGCUCACUGGCCCGGUACUGACGCUGAGGUGCGAAAGCGUGGGGGGCAAACAGG